RNAcentral lists this ribosomal RNA (238 nucleotides) under uncultured bacterium. Its description in RNAcentral is "partial 16S ribosomal RNA". It matches the Rfam family "Bacterial small subunit ribosomal RNA", at positions 99 to 334 of the family's 1533-position model. The record is from RNAcentral.
CGUACGGGAGAGUAACACGUAAGUAAUCUACCCUCGGGUGGGGAAUAACUUAAGGAAACUUAAGCUAAUACCGCAUAAUGCAGCGGCUCCAUAUGGAGACAGUUGUUAAAGCAUUUAUGCGCCUGGGGAGGAGCUUGCGGCAGAUUAGCUAGUUGGUAAGGUAAUGGCUUACCAAGGCAACGAUCUGUAGCCGGUCUAAGAGGACGGUCGGUCUCACUGACACUGAAUAACGGGUCAG